UUUGACCUUCCAUUCCUAACUCCUGCAAUUUUAUGUUUUAUUUACAACUAAAAAGGCGCCUUUAUUUUUUAUACAUUUUACGUCGGAUAUUAUCCCUGGUUGUUGAAGAAAACCGAGAUAAAAAUUCUAAAAACAAUUUUUAUUCCUUCACAAUUAUUAGGUUUUAUCUCAUUCACUUUUUGCGCCAUAGCAAACGAAAGGAAUUUGUUCUUCUCCAGCGAACGAAUGAGUUUCCCAAUACUGAGAACCACCACCCUUCUUCUUCGAGGAGGAAGUAAGCUCAAACUUUCUUUGUUGAGUCUCUCAUCACAUUUCCGAUAUGUACAAAUUCUCCAUUACUGUUGUUGUUAUUUCCGUCAUUGAUGUUGUCG
RNAcentral lists this long non-coding RNA (371 nucleotides) under Lathyrus oleraceus (garden pea). RNAcentral describes it as "Pisum sativum (pea) long non-coding RNA (PSAT_LNC014071)". Lineage: Eukaryota; Viridiplantae; Streptophyta; Magnoliopsida; Fabales; Fabaceae. The record is from RNAcentral.